UGGGGAAUUUUGCGCAAUGGGGGAAACCCUGACGCAGCAACGCCGCGUGAGUGAUGAAGGCCUUCGGGUCGUAAAGCUCUGUCAGAGGGGAAGAAAUGCAGGGGUGCUAAUAUCAUCUUUGCUUGACGGUACCCUCAAAGGAAGCACCGGCUAACUCCGUGCCAGCAGCCGCGGUAAUACGGAGGGUGCGAGCGUUGUUCGGAAUUAUUGGGCGUAAAGCGCGUGUAGGCGGUUUGGUAAGUCUGAUGUGAAAGCCCCGGGCUCAACCUGGGAAGUGCAUUGGAAACGGGCGGACUAGAAGAAGGGAGAGGGUAGUGGAAUGCCGAGGGUAGGAGUGAAAUCCGUAGAUAGUAGGAGGAGCACCGGUGGCGAAGGGGGCUACCUGGACAGAUAUUGACGCUGAGACG
This 407-nucleotide ribosomal RNA is filed under the name uncultured bacterium. RNAcentral describes it as "bacterial SSU rRNA". It matches the Rfam family "Bacterial small subunit ribosomal RNA", at positions 355 to 753 of the family's 1533-position model. The record is from RNAcentral.